UUCGCAAUGCCCGAAAGGGUGACGAAGCGACGCCGCGUGGGUGAGGAAGGCCCUCGGGUUGUAAAGCCCUGUCAGGAGUUAAGAAAUGUAAGUGUGUUAAUACCACAUUUAUUUGACGAAGGCUCCAAAGGAAGCCACGGCUAACUCUGUGCCAGCAGCCGCGGUAAUACAGAAGUGGCAAGCGUUGUUCGGAAUUAUUGGGCGUAAAGAGCACGUAGGUGGGUUUGUAAGUCAGAUGUGAAAGCCUUCUGUUCAACGGAAGAAUUGCAUCUGAAACUGCGGAUCUUGAGUAUAGGAGGGGAGAAUGGAACUUCUGGUGGAGCGGUGAAAUGCGUAGAUAUCAGAAGGAACGCCGGCGGCGAAAGCGAUUCUCUGGCCUAUUACUGACACUCAGUGUGCGAAAGCUAGGGGAGCAAACGGGAUUAGAUACCCCGGUAGUCCUAGCCGUAAACGAUGGGCACUAAGUAGAGGGGUUUU
RNAcentral lists this ribosomal RNA (477 nucleotides) under Candidatus Scalindua marina (nom. nud.). RNAcentral describes it as "bacterial SSU rRNA". It matches the Rfam family "Bacterial small subunit ribosomal RNA", at positions 365 to 832 of the family's 1533-position model. Lineage: Bacteria; Pseudomonadati; Planctomycetota; Candidatus Brocadiia; Candidatus Brocadiales; Candidatus Scalinduaceae. The record is from RNAcentral.